GACGAACGCUGGCGGCGUGCUUAACACAUGCAAGUCGAACGGAAAGGCCCUGCUUUUGUGGGGUGCUCGAGUGGCGAACGGGUGAGUAACACGUGAGUAACCUGCCCUUGACUUUGGGAUAACUUCAGGAAACUGGGGCUAAUACCGGAUAGGAGCUCCUGCUGCAUGGUGGGGGUUGGAAAGUUUCGGCGGUUGGGGAUGGACUCGCGGCUUAUCAGCUUGUUGGGGGGGUAGUGGCUUACCAAGGCUUUGACGGGUGGCCGGCCUGAGAGGGUGACCGGCCACAUUGGGACUGAGAUACGGCCCAGACUCCUACGGGAGGCAGCAGUGGGGAAUAUUGCACAAUGGGCGGAAGCCUGAUGCAGCAACGCCGCGUGCGGGAUGACGGCCUUCGGGUUGUAAACCGCUUUCGCCUGUGACGAAGCGUGAGUGACGGUAAUGGGUAAAGAAGCACCGGCUAACUACGUG
RNAcentral lists this ribosomal RNA (468 nucleotides) under uncultured bacterium. RNAcentral describes it as "partial 16S ribosomal RNA". It matches the Rfam family "Bacterial small subunit ribosomal RNA", at positions 28 to 507 of the family's 1533-position model. The record is from RNAcentral.